GUGCGGCUACAAAAGAUCUUCGGAAGAUAUCCAUGAUCAUCAGUUCGCAUUGAAGAUUGAUUCACGUCAAAGUAUGUUCUUUAUUUAUUUUUUUCUAUUUGAUUUCUGUAUCUGAAUCUUAUCUCAUAUAUAAUGAUUCUAUUUAUGAUUUGAAGAUUUGAUCUUAUGCAUGCUUAGAUUAAAUUAGAUUUAAUCUAAAAAAUUUUAAAUUCUACUACAUACUUAUUUUAAAAAAUUAUGCAUGC
RNAcentral lists this long non-coding RNA (245 nucleotides) under Elaeis guineensis (African oil palm). Its description in RNAcentral is "long non-coding RNA (EGUI_LNC017193)". Lineage: Eukaryota; Viridiplantae; Streptophyta; Magnoliopsida; Arecales; Arecaceae. The record is from RNAcentral.